Molecule: ribosomal RNA, 2811 nt
Filed under: Staphylococcus aureus
Lineage: Bacteria; Bacillati; Bacillota; Bacilli; Caryophanales; Staphylococcaceae
Description: bacterial LSU rRNA
Source: RNAcentral
AUAAUCGCUAGUGUUCGAAAGAACACUCACAAGAUUAAUAACGCGUUUCCACGAUAUGCUUUGGGGAGCUGUAAGUAAGCUUUGAUCCAGAGAUUUCCGAAUGGGGAAACCCAGCAUGAGUUAUGUCAUGUUAUCGAUAUGUGAAUACAUAGCAUAUCAGAAGGCACACCCGGAGAACUGAAACAUCUUAGUACCCGGAGGAAGAGAAAGAAAAUUCGAUUCCCUUAGUAGCGGCGAGCGAAACGGGAAGAGCCCAAACCAACAAGCUUGCUUGUUGGGGUUGUAGGACACUCUAUACGGAGUUACAAAGGACGACAUUAGACGAAUCAUCUGGAAAGAUGAAUCAAAGAAGGUAAUAAUCCUGUAGUCGAAAAUGUUGUCUCUCUUGAGUGGAUCCUGAGUACGACGGAGCACGUGAAAUUCCGUCGGAAUCUGGGAGGACCAUCUCCUAAGGCUAAAUACUCUCUAGUGACCGAUAGUGAACCAGUACCGUGAGGGAAAGGUGAAAAGCACCCCGGAAGGGGAGUGAAAUAGAACCUGAAACCGUGUGCUUACAAGUAGUCAGAGCCCGUUAAUGGGUGAUGGCGUGCCUUUUGUAGAAUGAACCGGCGAGUUACGAUUUGAUGCAAGGUUAAGCAGUAAAUGUGGAGCCGUAGCGAAAGCGAGUCUGAAUAGGGCGUUUAGUAUUUGGUCGUAGACCCGAAACCAGGUGAUCUACCCUUGGUCAGGUUGAAGUUCAGGUAACACUGAAUGGAGGACCGAACCGACUUACGUUGAAAAGUGAGCGGAUGAACUGAGGGUAGCGGAGAAAUUCCAAUCGAACCUGGAGAUAGCUGGUUCUCUCCGAAAUAGCUUUAGGGCUAGCCUCAAGUGAUGAUUAUUGGAGGUAGAGCACUGUUUGGACGAGGGGCCCCUCUCGGGUUACCGAAUUCAGACAAACUCCGAAUGCCAAUUAAUUUAACUUGGGAGUCAGAACAUGGGUGAUAAGGUCCRUGUUCGAAAGGGAAACAGCCCAGACCACCAGCUAAGGUCCCAAAAUAUAUGUUAAGUGGAAAAGGAUGUGGCGUUGCCCAGACAACUAGGAUGUUGGCUUAGAAGCAGCCAUCAUUUAAAGAGUGCGUAAUAGCUCACUAGUCGAGUGACACUGCGCCGAAAAUGUACCGGGGCUAAACAUAUUACCGAAGCUGUGGAUUGUCCUUUGGACAAUGGUAGGAGAGCGUUCUAAGGGCGUUGAAGCAUGAUCGUAAGGACAUGUGGAGCGCUUAGAAGUGAGAAUGCCGGUGUGAGUAGCGAAAGAYGGGUGAGAAUCCCGUCCACCGAUUGACUAAGGUUUCCAGAGGAAGGCUCGUCCGCUCUGGGUUAGUCGGGUCCUAAGCUGAGGCCGACAGGCGUAGGCGAUGGAUAACAGGUUGAUAUUCCUGUACCACCUAUAAUCGUUUUAAUCGAUGGGGGGACGCAGUAGGAUAGGCGAAGCGUGCGAUUGGAUUGCACGUCUAAGCAGUAAGGCUGAGUAUUAGGCAAAUCCGGUACUCGUUAAGGCUGAGCUGUGAUGGGGAGAAGACAUUGUGUCUUCGAGUCGUUGAUUUCACACUGCCGAGAAAAGCCUCUAGAUAGAAAAUAGGUGCCCGUACCGCAAACCGACACAGGUAGUCAAGAUGAGAAUUCUAAGGUGAGCGAGCGAACUCUCGUUAAGGAACUCGGCAAAAUGACCCCGUAACUUCGGGAGAAGGGGUGCUCUUUAGGGUUAACGCCCAGAAGAGCCGCAGUGAAUAGGCCCAAGCGACUGUUUAUCAAAAACACAGGUCUCUGCUAAACCGUAAGGUGAUGUAUAGGGGCUGACGCCUGCCCGGUGCUGGAAGGUUAAGAGGAGUGGUUAGCUUCUGCGAAGCUACGAAUCGAAGCCCCAGUAAACGGCGGCCGUAACUAUAACGGUCCUAAGGUAGCGAAAUUCCUUGUCGGGUAAGUUCCGACCCGCACGAAAGGCGUAACGAUUUGGGCACUGUCUCAACGAGAGACUCGGUGAAAUCAUAGUACCUGUGAAGAUGCAGGUUACCCGCGACAGGACGGAAAGACCCCGUGGAGCUUUACUGUAGCCUGAUAUUGAAAUUCGGCACAGCUUGUACAGGAUAGGUAGGAGCCUUUGAAACGUGAGCGCUAGCUUACGUGGAGGCGCUGGUGGGAUACUACCCUAGCUGUGUUGGCUUUCUAACCCGCACCACUUAUCGUGGUGGGAGACAGUGUCAGGCGGGCAGUUUGACUGGGGCGGUCGCCUCCUAAAAGGUAACGGAGGCGCUCAAAGGUUYCCUCAGAAUGGUUGGAAAUCAUUCAUAGAGUGUAAAGGCAUAAGGGAGCUUGACUGCGAGACCUACAAGUCGAGCAGGGUCGAAAGACGGACUUAGUGAUCCGGUGGUUCCGCAUGGAAGGGCCAUCGCUCAACGGAUAAAAGCUACCCCGGGGAUAACAGGCUUAUCUCCCCCAAGAGUUCACAUCGACGGGGAGGUUUGGCACCUCGAUGUCGGCUCAUCGCAUCCUGGGGCUGUAGUCGGUCCCAAGGGUUGGGCUGUUCGCCCAUUAAAGCGGUACGCGAGCUGGGUUCAGAACGUCGUGAGACAGUUCGGUCCCUAUCCGUCGUGGGCGUAGGAAAUUUGAGAGGAGCUGUCCUUAGUACGAGAGGACCGGGAUGGACAUACCUCUGGUGUACCAGUUGUCGUGCCAACGGCAUAGCUGGGUAGCUAUGUGUGGACGGGAUAAGUGCUGAAAGCAUCUAAGCAUGAAGCCCCCCUCAAGAUGAGAUUUCCCAACUUCGGUUAU